CCGGAUUUAUUGGGUUUAAAGGGUGCGCAGGCGGGAGAUUAAGUCGGCGGCGAAAUUUUGCAGCUCAACUGUAAAAGUGCCUUCGAUACUGGUUUCCUUGAGUGUGGAUGAAGUAGGCGGAAUUUGUGGUGUAGCGGUGAAAUGCUUAGAUAUCACGAGGAACUCCGAUUGCGCAGGCAGCUUACUAAACCACUACUGACGCUCAGGCACGAAGGCGUGGGGAUCAAACAGGAUUAGAUACCCUGGUAGUCCACGCAGUAAACGAUGAUUACUGGCUGUUUGCGAUACAAUGUAAGCGGCUGAGCGAAAGCGUUAAGUAAUCCACCUGGGGAGUACGUUCGCAAGAAUGAAACUCAAAGGAAUUGACGGGGGCCCGCACAAGCGGAGGAACAUGUGGUUUAAUUCGAUGAUACGCGAGGAACCUUACC
This 428-nucleotide ribosomal RNA is filed under the name uncultured Bacteroidota bacterium. Its description in RNAcentral is "bacterial SSU rRNA". It matches the Rfam family "Bacterial small subunit ribosomal RNA", at positions 545 to 975 of the family's 1533-position model. The record is from RNAcentral. Lineage: Bacteria; Pseudomonadati; Bacteroidota.